This 387-nucleotide ribosomal RNA is filed under the name uncultured bacterium. Its description in RNAcentral is "bacterial SSU rRNA". It matches the Rfam family "Bacterial small subunit ribosomal RNA", at positions 30 to 419 of the family's 1533-position model. The record is from RNAcentral.
AUUGAACGCUGGCGGCAUGCCUUACACAUGCAAGUCGAACGGCAGCGGGCCUUCGGGUGCCGGCGAGUGGCGAACGGGUGAGUAAUGCAUCGGAACGUGCCAUUGAGUGGGGGAUAACGUAGCGAAAGUUGCGCUAAUACCGCAUAUUCCGUGAGCAGGAAAGCAGGGGACCGCAAGGCCUUGCGCUCUUUGAGCGGCCGAUGUCAGAUUAGCUAGUUGGUGAGGUAAAGGCUUACCAAGGCGACGAUCUGUAGCGGGUCUGAGAGGAUGAUCCGCCACACUGGAACUGAGACACGGUCCAGACUCCUACGGGAGGCAGCAGUGGGAAAUUUUGGACAAUGGGGGCAACCCUGAUCCAGCCAUGCCGCGUGAGUGAAGAAGGCCUGG